UAAAUUUCACAAGUGUGGCAGUCUAUGAUUUGCCUCAUUCCCUCAGCAGCAGGAGCAUUGAUGAGAUUUUGUUUAAUGUUUCACUGGUGAAAGAUAACAGAUGCUGACAGGACUGAGAAGGCAGCCAUUGUUCCAGAGAAGGAAACUGUCAUUAAGACGACCUCUUCGAAGACAGGACAGACCUCGGGAGAAGUGAACUCCGUGGUCCGGCUGCAUCCGGACUGAUUCCUGGUUAAAAGUGGAACCACAACUGAACGUAAUUUGUUCUACGAGUGGUUCAAGAACCCCGAGCUGCUGCCUUAAACGAGAUGAUGAAUGUUGUCAUUUUCAAGAGAGAGAAUAUGGCCUGAGGAUAUCUGAGAGACACAGAAAUUUGUGGCGCUCAGAAAGAGGAC
Molecule: long non-coding RNA, 395 nt
Organism: Stegastes partitus (bicolor damselfish)
Lineage: Eukaryota; Metazoa; Chordata; Actinopteri; Pomacentridae
Exons: 3
Source: RefSeq, a predicted model, not a curated record